RNAcentral lists this ribosomal RNA (388 nucleotides) under uncultured bacterium. RNAcentral describes it as "bacterial SSU rRNA". It matches the Rfam family "Bacterial small subunit ribosomal RNA", at positions 917 to 1333 of the family's 1533-position model. The record is from RNAcentral.
GGGCUCGUACACGCAGUGGAGUAUGCGCUUUAAUUCGAUACAACGCGAAAAACCUUACCUGCUCUUGACAUGCUUUGCUAAGAAUCCAAAAGAUUCUAUAGGAAAAGCACAGGUGCUGCAUGGCUGUCGACAGUUCGUGUCGUGAGAUGUUUGGUUCAGUCCUGAAACGAGCGAAACCCUCCUCUUACAUGAAUUAAUGCAAGAGACAUUCUGUGACAAGCAGAAGGAAGAAGGAUGACGUCAAGUCUUCAUGGCCCUUAUGAGCCAGGGCUAGACGCGUACUACAAUGAAAAGAACAAAAGAAGCAAAGAUGAGAGUCCCAGCAAAUCUAUAAAACUUUUCGAAGUUGGGAUUGUUCUCUGCAACUCGAGAACAUGAACCUGGAAUU